Molecule: non-coding RNA, 99 nt
Organism: Canis lupus familiaris (dog)
Lineage: Eukaryota; Metazoa; Chordata; Mammalia; Carnivora; Canidae
Source: Rfam
CUUCUAGCUCGGCAGGGCGCAGCAUCCCAGGGCCUCAGGUCCUUAGGCGUCUGGGCCCCUCCUGUGCAUCAGGGCCUUGGCCCUCUACCAACAGGCCCU